UCAUUGCACACACACAGAGCAGCAGCAAACCCCCCGUUUUAUGCGAACCUCAUGAAUGUCCCCCUCCCUCGGCCGGUGUCCUCCCCUCCCCUCCCCUCCCUUCCCUGCCAGCCAGCCUGCCUGCAGCAGAUGGUCGGUCUGGUGGUGUGUUGGUCGGGGGACUUGGUGACCAAAAAAAACCGAUGGCGCAAUGCAUCAACACCUUCAAAAUAUGACUGAGUAUGGAAAACCGGGGGCGCGCGCGUGCGUGUGCCCCCCGAGUUGUGAAAAUAAACAAGAACAACUCUCAGCAACGGAUAUCUUGGCUCCUGCAACGAUGAAGAACGCAGCGAAAUGCGAUACGUAGUGUGAAUUGCAGAAUUCCGCGAAUCAUCGAGUCUUUGAACGCAAGUUGCGCCCGAGGCUUGCCCUGGGGCAUUUCUGUCAGAGCGUCACCGCGACACCCACCGACCCCCCACUCCCUCUUGAAUGAAUGGGUGGGGGGCCGAGUGAAAGUGGCCAUCCGAGCGCCUCCUCCGAGGGGCUGGGUUGGCUGAAAUGGAGGGAAUUCUGGCCGCCGUGGCGACACGGCCCGCGAUCAGGUGAUCCAAGUCUCGUUUCUUGGAACUCAAUGCGCGUUGGCCGUUGACCCUAAACCGCCGCCCCCCAACUCAAUGUGGGUUGGUUGGUUGGUUGGUUGGUUGGUGCCGAGGAUUCCAGAGCAGGUCCCUCCUCCUCCUUCUUCGGAAGGAGUCGGCGGAAAAA
RNAcentral lists this ribosomal RNA (744 nucleotides) under Grimmia capillata. RNAcentral describes it as "eukaryotic LSU rRNA". The stretch from base 282 to 434 matches the Rfam family "5.8S ribosomal RNA". The record is from RNAcentral. Lineage: Eukaryota; Viridiplantae; Streptophyta; Bryopsida; Grimmiales; Grimmiaceae.